Molecule: ribosomal RNA, 454 nt
Filed under: uncultured bacterium
Lineage: Bacteria
Description: partial 16S ribosomal RNA
Rfam family: Bacterial small subunit ribosomal RNA
Source: RNAcentral
GAUGAACGCUGACAGAAUGCUUAACACAUGCAAGUCGACUUGAACUUCGGUUUGGGUGGCGGACGGGCGAGUAACGCGUAAAGAACUUGCCUCACAGCUAGGGACAACAUUUGGAAACGAAUGCUAAUACCUGAUAUUAUGAUUAUAUGGCAUCGUAUAAUUAUGAAAGCUAUAUGCGCUGUGAGAGAGCUUUGCGUCCCAUUAGCUAGUUGGAGAGGUAACAGAUCACCAAGGCGAUGAUGGGUAGCCGGCCUGAGAGGGUGAUCGGCCACAAGGGGACUGGGACACGGCCCUUACUCCUACGGGAGGCAGCAGUGGGGAAUAUUGGACAGUGGACCGAGAGUCUGAUCCAGCAAUUCUGUGUGCACGAUGAAGUUUUUCGGAAUGUAAAGUGCUUUCAGUUGGGAAGAAAAAAAUGACGGUACCAACAGAAGAAGUGACGGCUAAAUACGUG